CCUACGGGUGGCAGCAGUGAGGAAUAUUGGUCAAUGGACGAGAGUCUGAACCAGCCAAGUAGCGUGAAGGAUGACUGCCCUCUGGUUUGUAAACUUCUUUUAUAUGGGAAUAAAAUGUUCCACGUGUGGGGUUUUGUAUGUACCCUAUGAAUAAGGAUCUGCUAACUCCGUUCCAGCAGCCGCGUGAAUACUGAGGAUCCGAGCGUUAUCCGGAUUUAUUGGGUUUAAAGGGAGCGUAGGUGGAUUGUUAAGUCAGUUGUGAAAGUUUGCGGCUCAACCGUAAAAUUGCAGUUGAAACUGGCAGUCUUGAGUACAGUAGAGGUGGGCGGAAUUCGUGGUGUAGCGGUGAAAUGCUUAGAUAUCACGAAGAACUCCGAUUGCGAAGGCAGCUAACUGGACUGCAACUGACACUGAGGCGCGAAAGUGUGGGUAUCAAACAGGAUUAGAUACCCUAGUAGUC
Molecule: ribosomal RNA, 460 nt
Filed under: uncultured bacterium
Lineage: Bacteria
Description: partial 16S ribosomal RNA
Rfam family: Bacterial small subunit ribosomal RNA
Source: RNAcentral